GUAGGGAAUAUUGGGCAAUGGAUGCAAGUCUGACCCAGCCAUCCCACGUGCCGGAAGAAGGCCCUCAGGGUUGUAUACGGCUUUUGACGGUGAAGAACCGACAGGAAGCGUCCUGUUUUGACGGUAGCCGUUGAAUAAGCACCGGCUAACUCCGUGCCAGCAGCCGCGGUAAUACGGAGGGUGCGAGCGUUGUCCGGAUUUAUUGGGUUUAAAGGGUGCGUACGCUGGAAGGUCAGUCAGCGGUGAAAAGCUAUCGCUUAACGAUAGUCUUGCCGCAGAUACUUCCUUUCUGGGAUGAGGAGGAGGCCACUGGAACGGAUGGUGUAGCGGUGAAAUGCAUAGAUAUCAUCCAGAACACCGAUUGCGAAGGCAGGUGGCUGUACCUUAAUCGACGCUGAUGCACGAAAGCAUGGGGAGCAAACAGGAUUAGAAACCCCAGUAGUCC
RNAcentral lists this ribosomal RNA (445 nucleotides) under uncultured bacterium. Its description in RNAcentral is "partial 16S ribosomal RNA". It matches the Rfam family "Bacterial small subunit ribosomal RNA", at positions 354 to 796 of the family's 1533-position model. The record is from RNAcentral.